This 23-nucleotide non-coding RNA is filed under the name Cricetulus griseus (Chinese hamster). Lineage: Eukaryota; Metazoa; Chordata; Mammalia; Rodentia; Cricetidae. The record is from RNAcentral.
UUGAUGGUACUGGAGAAGGACUG